Molecule: ribosomal RNA, 155 nt
Filed under: uncultured bacterium
Lineage: Bacteria
Description: partial 16S ribosomal RNA
Rfam family: Bacterial small subunit ribosomal RNA
Source: RNAcentral
UAGUAAUCGCGAAUCAGAAUGUCGCGGUGAAUGCGUUCCCGGGUCUUGUACACACCGCCCGUCACACCAUGGAAGUUGGGGGUGCCCAAAGCCGGCAAGCAAAUAUGCUGUCUAAGGCAAAACCAAUGACUGGGGUGAAGUCGUAACAAGGUACC